Molecule: long non-coding RNA, 1707 nt
Filed under: Brassica napus (rape)
Lineage: Eukaryota; Viridiplantae; Streptophyta; Magnoliopsida; Brassicales; Brassicaceae
Description: long non-coding RNA (BNAP_LNC018680)
Source: RNAcentral
ACCUGAAUGUAGAGGACGUUUGGAGAAGGAUGAGCAUUGAUGAGGAAAUCAGUGGUCCACUUUAGAGAGUCUUUAGCAGGAUCAAGUUGGUCCAGGGAGUCCAUGUGGUCUCCGUACUCGAGAAUGGACCAGGAGAGAAGAGUGGCAGUGAAUGCCAUAGGGAAACCAAACUUCAUGUGAUCUCCAGCAUCGUAUAAACCUUUGGAAAGGUCCAGACUCGCUUCACUUCCAUCUUUAAGACCUGAAUCUCCUCUCCAAGGUAUUUUGUUGUUCUCCAGCUUACCAGCUACAUCAAAACAAACCAAGUAUCUUUGUAGAACUAAGUUUAGCCAAAAUCAAAACCAAAUAAUCACAUUAAAGAUGUAACUUGCGUCACAAGAAUCCCCAAAAUUCAAAAUCUGUAGCUAACAAACUUGAAAUUUCAUGUAAAAAGUGAAAAAUUGAAAUAUAUGUUAAUGAAUGAAAGUUACAUCGGUAGUUGAAGAAUUAAUGAACUAAUAUAUAUAAAAAGAAUUAAAGAAUUGUGGCUAAUCCAAUUAUCGUCAAUUAGUUUUAACUUAACAAUACAUAAACCUAAAUUUAACAAUAUACAUAAACAAAAACAAGGAAGAUGUGUAUUUGCAGGGAAUGUAACGAUCAUAAGAACGAAAAUGAAGGAAAAAAAGAAGACUAGAGAUGCUGCAGCCAUGGCUGCUGCUGUUUCUGCAGCAACUUCAGUCCCUGGAGUGUCUGCAUCAAUCUUGGUGAGAGUUCUCUUCCUUGACAUUGUUUCUGGCCUAUCCCAGCAUUUAUGAUCCGUCUCCGGAUCUCCCACCUUACAAAAAUGAAUAAUAUGAAAAUGGUCGGAUCUAUGAUUUUAGAGGCCAUAAAUAUUUAUUAAAAAAAAAAUUUCAACAUAAUUUCUAUAAUUUUAUAUCUCUAUAUAUAUAACCUCCAAAAAAAUUUAAGACCCAAAUCCAAUGUUUCACUGGGAUGUGUCCAAAUCCGAUGUUGAAAAUGAGUAUUCUAAUGGUCUUGAAACGUGACAAGUUAUGAAAGAUUGAUCUUGAGCAUUAUACCUGAAUGUAGAGGACGUUUGGAGAAGGAUGAGCAUUGAUGAGGAAAUCAGUGGUCCACUUUAGAGAGUCUUUAGCAGGAUCAAGUUGGUCCAGGGAGUCCAUGUGGUCUCCGUACUCGAGAAUGGACCAGGAGAGAAGAGUGGCAGUGAAUGCCAUAGGGAAACCAAACUUCAUGUGAUCUCCAGCAUCGUAUAAACCUUUGGAAAGGUCCAGACUCGCUUCACUUCCAUCUUUAAGACCUGAAUCUCCUCUCCAAGGUAUUUUGUUGUUCUCCAGCUUACCAGCUACAUCAAAACAAACCAAGUAUCUUUGUAGAACUAAGUUUAGCCAAAAUCAAAACCAAAUAAUCACAUUAAAGAUGUAACUUGCGUCACAAGAAUCCCCAAAAUUCAAAAUCUGUAGCUAACAAACUUGAAAUUUCAUGUAAAAAGUGAAAAAUUGAAAUAUAUGUUAAUGAAUGAAAGUUACAUCGGUAGUUGAAGAAUUAAUGAACUAAUAUAUAUAAAAAGAAUUAAAGAAUUGUGGCUAAUCCAAUUAUCGUCAAUUAGUUUUAACUUAACAAUACAUAAACCUAAAUUUAACAAUAUACAUAAACAAAAACAAGGAAGAUGUGUAUUUGCAGGGAAUGUAACGAUCAUAAGAACGAAAA